Salmo salar (Atlantic salmon) is the source of this 341-nucleotide non-coding RNA. The record is from RefSeq and is a predicted model, not a curated record. NCBI's taxonomy places the organism in Eukaryota, Metazoa, Chordata, Actinopteri, Salmoniformes, Salmonidae.
UUCAGCGCAUGUGACAAAUGAAAAUGCAUUUGAUUUGAUAGUAAACGUUUACAUUAGUCUACGAGACCAGUCUGGGCUGCCAUGAUUCAUGUGACACAUCUUGUCGUGAGACCCAGCUACGACGGGCUGGACACUGCACUCUCCCUGGAGACAUUUUCUGAAAAUGAAGUGUCAUCGUUGUCACACGCUUUGUGAGGAGGGACAGCAGUUUUGCUUGAGAUGCAACGCAAUCGUCGAGGAAGAGAGAGAGCCAGGCAGUCUAAAAGAUGUGACCUAUGACCGGGGUAGGAGUGGGGCGGCUGAAGACACCUUGCCAAUGGACAGAUCCGCAGAUGAAGAGG